UACGUAGGGCGCAAGCGUUAUCCGGAAUUAUUGGGCGUAAAGAGCUCGUAGGCGGUUUGUCGCGUCUGCCGUGAAAGUCCGGGGCUUAACCCCGGAUCUGCGGUGGGUACGGGCAGACUAGAGUGCAGUAGGGGAGACUGGAAUUCCUGGUGUAGCGGUGAAAUGCGCAGAUAUCAGGAGGAACACCGAUGGCGAAGGCAGGUCUCUGGGCUGUAACUGACGCUGAGGAGCGAAAGCAUGGGGAGCGAACAGGAUUAG
RNAcentral lists this ribosomal RNA (258 nucleotides) under uncultured Actinomycetales bacterium. RNAcentral's name for it is "partial 16S ribosomal RNA". It matches the Rfam family "Bacterial small subunit ribosomal RNA", at positions 524 to 781 of the family's 1533-position model. Lineage: Bacteria; Bacillati; Actinomycetota; Actinomycetes; Actinomycetales. The record is from RNAcentral.